UUAUUGGCAUGGUUAGGCCAGAUUUGACUGAGAAAAUGCCAAAUUUGGAAAUUGUGCGGCCUGAUGUACCUCAACAGAGUAAUUUGAGGGACUGUGGGGUGCAUGUCCUAAUAUGGCUCAGCAGAUGGGAACCCAAUCUUCCACUAGAAUACACCCAGGGAGAUGUGGCAGCUUUUCGGCGUGAUCUGAUGUGGUGGCUGGUGAACCAUGAUAACAAUGAAUGCCGUGAGGA
Neltuma alba is the source of this 232-nucleotide long non-coding RNA. RefSeq lists it as uncharacterized. The record is from RefSeq and is a predicted model, not a curated record. NCBI's taxonomy places the organism in Eukaryota, Viridiplantae, Streptophyta, Magnoliopsida, Fabales, Fabaceae. The transcript is spliced from 3 exons.